CCUACGGGCGGCUGCAGUGAGGAAUAUUGGUCAAUGGGCGGAAGCCUGAACCAGCCAAGUAGCGUGCAGGAUGACGGCCCUACGGGUUGUAAACUGCUUUUAUACGGGAAUAACGCGCCUUACGUGUAGGGCUUUGCAUGUACCGUAUGAAUAAGGACCGGCUAAUUCCGUGCCAGCAGCCGCGGUAAUACGGAAGGUCCGGGCGUUAUCCGGAUUUAUUGGGUUUAAAGGGGGCGUAGGCCGCAUGGCAAGCGUGCUGGGAAAUGUCCGGGCUCAACCCGGGCCUUGCAGCGCGUACUGGGGUGCUUGAGGCCGCGGAAAGCAGGCGGAAUUUGGCGUGUAGCGGGGAAAUGCGUAGAUAUG
RNAcentral lists this ribosomal RNA (363 nucleotides) under uncultured bacterium. Its description in RNAcentral is "partial 16S ribosomal RNA". It matches the Rfam family "Bacterial small subunit ribosomal RNA", at positions 338 to 698 of the family's 1533-position model. The record is from RNAcentral.